GUAGGGGGCUAGCGUUGUCCGGAUUUAUUGGGCGUAAAGAGCUCGUAGGCGGUUUGGCAAGUCGGGUGUGAAAUCUCCACGCUUAACGUGGAGCGGUCAUUCGAUACUGCCAUGACUAGAGUCCGGUAGGGGAGUGUGGAAUUCCCGGUGUAGCGGUGAAAUGCGCAGAGAUCGGGAGGAACACCCGUAGCGAAGGCGGCACUCUGGGCCGGUACUGACGCUGAGGAGCGAAAGCGUGGGGAGCAAACAGGAUUAGAUACCCUGGUAGUCCACGCCGUAAACGUUGGGCACUAGGUGUGGGACUCUAUCGACGGGUUCCGUGCCGACGCUAACGCAUUAAGUGCCCCGCCUGGGGAGUACGGCCGCAAGGCUAAA
Molecule: ribosomal RNA, 375 nt
Filed under: uncultured bacterium
Lineage: Bacteria
Description: bacterial SSU rRNA
Rfam family: Bacterial small subunit ribosomal RNA
Source: RNAcentral